ACGUAGGGUGCAAGCGUUAAUCGGAAUUAUUGGGCGUAAAGGGCGUGUAGGCGGUCUGCUAAGUCAUGUGUGAAAUCCCUCGGCUUAACCGAGGAACGACGCAUGAAACUGGCAAGCUAGAGUACCAAAGAGGGGGGUGGAAUUCCUGGUGUAGCGGUGAAAUGCGUAGAGAUCAGGAAGAACAUCGGUGGCGAAGGCGCUCUGCUGGACCAUAACUGACACUCAGGGACGAAAGCUAGGGGAGCGAAUGGGA
RNAcentral lists this ribosomal RNA (253 nucleotides) under uncultured prokaryote. RNAcentral's name for it is "partial 16S ribosomal RNA". It matches the Rfam family "Bacterial small subunit ribosomal RNA", at positions 525 to 777 of the family's 1533-position model. The record is from RNAcentral.